Molecule: ribosomal RNA, 911 nt
Filed under: Salmonella enterica
Lineage: Bacteria; Pseudomonadati; Pseudomonadota; Gammaproteobacteria; Enterobacterales; Enterobacteriaceae
Also listed under: 1 other name
Description: partial 23S ribosomal RNA
Rfam family: Bacterial large subunit ribosomal RNA
Source: RNAcentral
CAGUAGCGGCGAGCGAACGGGGAGGAGCCCAGAGCCUGAAUCAGCAUGUGUGUUAGUGGAAGCGUCUGGAAAGGCGCGCGAUACAGGGUGACAGCCCCGUACACAAAAGCGCAUGUGCUGUGAGCUCGAUGAGUAGGGCGGGACACGUGGUAUCCUGUCUGAAUAUGGGGGGACCAUCCUCCAAGGCUAAAUACUCCUGACUGACCGAUAGUGAACCAGUACCGUGAGGGAAAGGCGAAAAGAACCCCGGCGAGGGGAGUGAAAAAGAACCUGAAACCGUGUACGUACAAGCAGUGGGAGCACAGGUUUACCUGUGUGACUGCGUACCUUUUGUAUAAUGGGUCAGCGACUUAUAUUCUGUAGCAAGGUUAACCGAAUAGGGGAGCCGGAGGGAAACCGAGUCUUAAUUGGGCGUUAAGUUGCAGGGUAUAGACCCGAAACCCGGUGAUCUAGCCAUGGGCAGGUUGAAGGUUGGGUAACACUAACUGGAGGACCGAACCGACUAAUGUUGAAAAAUUAGCGGAUGACCUGUGGCUGGGGGUGAAAGGCCAAUCAAACCGGGAGAUAGCUGGUUCUCCCCGAAAGCUAUUUAGGUAGCGCCUCGUGAAUUCAUCUCCGGGGGUAGAGCACUGUUUCGGCUAGGGGGCCAUCCCGGCUUACCAACCCGAUGCAAACUGCGAAUACCGGAGAAUGUUAUCACGGGAGACACACGGCGGGUGCUAACGUCCGUCGUGAAGAGGGAAACAACCCAGACCGCCAGCUAAGGUCCCAAAGUCAUGGUUAAGUGGGAAACGAUGUGGGAAGGCCCAGACAGCCAGGAUGUUGGCUUAGAAGCAGCCAUCAUUUAAAGAAAGCGUAAUAGCUCACUGGUCGAGUCGGCCUGCGCGGAAGAUGUAACGGGGCUAAACCAU